Molecule: unclassified non-coding RNA, 485 nt
Filed under: 'Prunus salicina' phytoplasma PLKr1
Lineage: Bacteria; Bacillati; Mycoplasmatota; Mollicutes; Acholeplasmatales; Acholeplasmataceae
Description: bacterial SSU rRNA
Rfam family: Bacterial small subunit ribosomal RNA (bases 1-329)
Source: RNAcentral
UGGGCUACAAACGUGAUACAAUGGCUGUUACAAAGAGUAGCUGAAACGCGAGUUUUUAGCCAAUCUCAAAAAAGCAGUCUCAGUUCGGAUUGAAGUCUGUAACUCGACUUCAUGAAGUUGGAAUCGCUAGUAAUCGCGAAUCAGCAUGUCGCGGUGAAUACGUUCUCGGGGUUUGUACACACCGCCCGUCAAACCACGAAAGUUAGCAAUACCCGAAAACAGUAGCUUAACUUCGUAAGAAGAGGGAACUGUCUAAGGUAGGGUUGAUGAUUGGGGUUAAGUCCUAACAAGGUAUCCCUACCGGAAGGUGGGGAUGGAUCACCUCAUUUCUAAAGACUAUAUAUACUAAAAUCAUCAUCUUCACUUGUGAAAGACUUAAGUAGAAAAUAAGUUUUUCUUUUAAGCGCCAAAGGGCCUAUAGCUCAGUUGGUUAGAGCACACGCCUGAUAAGCGUGAGGUCGGUGGUUCAAGUCCAUUUAGGCCCA